This 220-nucleotide long non-coding RNA is filed under the name Mytilus galloprovincialis (Mediterranean mussel). Lineage: Eukaryota; Metazoa; Mollusca; Bivalvia; Mytilida; Mytilidae. The record is from RNAcentral.
GAACCACGAAACUAAGGUCAAGGAUCUGAAUCAUGGCAGGCAGAAGUGUACAACUUACAAUUCCAUACAGCAAGUAAAGUUAACCUAUUUCUUAUAGUUUAAGAAAAUCAGAACAAAACUAAAAAACUAAAUACUGUGCAAUGAACAGUGAAAAUGAGGUCAAGGCCAAAUAAAACCUGCCAGACUGACAUGCACAUCAUUAAAUAUUUCCAUACACCAA